AGUGAACGCUGGCGGCGUGCUUAACACAUGCAAGUCGAACGAGAACGGGCUAUAGCUUGCUAUAGUUGUCAGCUAAGUGGCGCACGGGUGAGUAAUGUAUAGGUAAUAUGCCUCUUACUAAGGGAUAACAAAUGGAAACGUUUGCUAAUACCUUAUACUCCUUAUUAACAGAAGUUAAUAAGGGAAAGAUUUAUUGGUAAGAGAUUAGCCUGUAUUGUAUCAGUUAGUUGGUGGGGUAAUGGCUUACCAAGACUAUGACACAUAACUGGUUUGGGGGGAUGAUGAGUCACACUGGAACUGAGACACGGUCCAGACUCCUACGGGAGGCAGCAGUGGGGGAUAUUGCACAAUGGACGAAAGUCGGAUGCAGCAACGCCGCGUGGAGGAUGACACAUUUCGGUGCGUAAACUCCUUUUAUAUGGGAAGAUAAUGACGGUAUUAUAUGAAUAAGCACCGGCUAACUCCGUGCCAGCCGCCGCGGUAA
This 484-nucleotide ribosomal RNA is filed under the name uncultured bacterium. Its description in RNAcentral is "partial 16S ribosomal RNA". It matches the Rfam family "Bacterial small subunit ribosomal RNA", at positions 29 to 523 of the family's 1533-position model. The record is from RNAcentral.